AACCAUUUGGUUUUGCAAUUAAAAACAGGUUUGGCUUCCUCUGCAUCAGUAAGACAACGUCAACGCAACAUUCAUCCUGAAAAUUUUCCCUUGUGAAUUCAAAUGAACUAUUAAUCAGCUAGAACCUGUGCCAGGUGGGACUACAAGCAAGCAAUCGGGUUCAGGUCUCUAAGGAGGAGGAAAUCAACUCCCACUCUAUUCAUGCCGUGUUGACAUUGUAAUUGGAAUUGGCCUCAGGAACACUCUCAGGGAAGCAACGCUGGAUCUUGGUCCAACUCUCUCUACUCGUCCCCUCCACCUCUCUCACUCCUAGCUGCACCACCCCACUCCAUCACACUGCGGAGAUAAUGGAUCCCCGAAGGCAGAAUGGCAGUCAAUGGAAUUGGCAUGGCCUUGCUGAUGACUGAGCCCUGUAAAGCCACCUCAUGGAAACAGCUGCCUGUUCCACUUACUCAUAAGGCAGCCCAUUUCCUUCAGUCUUAUUAAUAGCUCUAAGAUGAAAUGUACAAAUAAGAUGCUGAUGAAGACAGCAAAAGUACCGCUAUUGCUGUGUGCCCCAAGGAAAAACAUGACUCUGCCAGAAGUCAUGAAGUUGCCGUAUUAUCUCAAGUCUUUGGCUGUUUGCUUCUCAAAGGACUUGUGGGUAGGUAGCUUCAGUAAAGUUCAUCAUUUAUCGGCCUGCAAAUCAGCUGAGCAUGACUUGGUUAUCUGAUCCUCUAUUUCAGAGGACAGAUGGGUUACGUUCUCAGAAGGGCAUGACAAUUCAUCAGGAAGAGGAGUGAGCGAUGGUUCCCAGAAAAAUGCUUUACUGUCAUCUUGAGGUUUCCCUAUCACUGGUACCAAAUGUUAGCCCCGGUGGUCUUGAAUAGCAAGAAGAACCUUAGCCCAUUUGUGAGAAAGAAAUAGGCUCCUCAUAAUUUUUGAAAGUGUGUUGCCACAGCCCAGAUGGUUUUAACAAUUAAAUACCUCAAUUGGAAAUGUUUGGAUCAAGUCCAGAUUAUUCAGUAGACAAUAGCAGACCAAUGCCCAUUUUCCUUGCAGAGUAGACCCUGUCAUUUCAAAUAUUUUCUCUGUAUUUUUCAGUGGUUUAUUGUGUAAGAAUUUACCCUGCUUCCCAAACUGGUUAGUAAAUGUGGGACCAGUCUGUCAAUCAAAUAUUCAUUUAAUUUUUUCCUAGAACCACAAAAUUAUUCCAUGAAGAGCUAAUGAUGAACUUAGUGGCCCAAAUAAUCUCUUGAUCUGGUUGUAAAAUUAGGCACAUUAAUAAAUAUACAGAGAGAUCGCUGGACACACAAUUCAAUCACAUUUUUUCCCAGGAGAUCAAUCUUAGACAAAAAUAUACAGUAGAGUUUACCUCUGACACAGCCCCACUCCUAAAUUUCUGGCAUUAUGAUUCCAUUCUCGCCCCUCUCCUCAGAGCUGCUACUUCCUUAAGAGUGAUUUCAUGCUUGCAGAUUCCCCUCAGCACAAAUCAGAUAAUACUGGAAGAUAUUACUCUCUCUUCCAGGACAAUCUGAUACUUUAUUUAAAAAAAAAAUAGUAAUGCUUGACACAAGCAAUACAAAUCUAAUAGCAGCAUCUCACAUGUUUGUAACAAGACAGUGGAGAUACAUUUUCUUAAUAGGACUCUCUUUUAAGGGAUUUCCCACCUCACGCCAAUAGCCUCUGACUUUCUCUACCUAUGUGCAGAACACCACUGAGUCCAAAGAGACAUAGUAACUACUGAAAGUAAAGCUUUCUGGAAUGGUCAAGGAAUUAACAAGCAACUCAAAUGCAAUUCAUCAUCUCCUACCAAAAAAAAAAAAAAAUACAAGCAGUUUAUGUGCACCAAUCUCUUCUCUCUCUCUCUCUCUCUUUUUUUAUUUUAUUUUUUUUUAUUUUUUGACAGGCAGAGUGGACAGUGAGAGAGAGAGACAGAGAGAAAGGUCUUCCUUUACUGUUGGUUCACCCUCCAAUGGCCACCGCGGCCAGCACGCUGCGGCCGGCACACCACGCUGAUCCGAUGGCAGGAGCCAGGAGCCAGGUGCUUUUCCUGGUCUCCCAUGGGGUGCAGGGCCCAAGCACCUGGGCCAUCCUCCACUGCACUCCCUGGCCACAGCAGAGGGCUGGCCUGGAAGAGGGGCAACCGGGACAGAAUCCGGCACCCCGACAGGGACUAGAACCCGGUGUGCCGGCGCCGCUAGGCGGAGGAUUAGCCUAGUGAGCCGCGGUGCCGGCCUCUCUCUCUCACUCUCUCUCUCCUUGUCUCUCCCUGUCUCCCUCUCUCUCUCUCUCUCACACACACACACACACACACAGAGGUUUUAUGAAACAACAAUUGGAAUAGAGAAUACUGAUGUGUAAAGGCAGCAAACGGCGCAUGAUAUCUUACUUGUUCAGGAACAGCCUCGUUACUUAUUUCAUUAUGAAGAACAGUGCCUAGAGAACGGCUAGCAUACAGUAGUCAUCAAUCAAUGUUUGUUCACUGACUGAAAAGUGAGUAGUAUCCCCAGCACUUGGAAGCAGUCUCAAGAUGUAUUCACUGCUCUGGGUGCCCAGUGGGACCCCAGUCUAAGGAAAUUCUCAUUCAUGAGGUUUAGGUGAUGGGAGGUCCGGGGUGGUAGCAAUGAUUUCUCCUAUAUGUAGUUUCAGAAAUCAUGUCCACCUUUGCUUCUGCGACUGAAGAAAAAAAAAGGCUUAAAAAAGGACCACCCUCACCAAGAAAAAUGAAAACUCACAUCCAUGCAAAAACUUGCACACAAAUGGUUAUAGCGACUUGGUGUUCACCAAAAACUGUAACCCCAUUGUCCUCAUAUUCAGACAAAAUGAACUGAGUGUAGUACUCACAUAUGAUGGGUGAAUGCUUAGCAAUAAAACAUAUGCUAAGACGUGCAAUCACAUGGGUGAACUCAACAGCAUUUUGCUAAGAGAAAGCAGCCAAACAUGAAAGACGGCCCAAUAUAUGAUGACGUUUAUGUGACAUUCUUGCUCUGGCAAAACUACAGGACAGACGUACCUGUGAUUGUGGGCAGAAUGAGGGAUGAUGCAAAGUGGCAGGGGGAAAUCGGUGGGCACGAUGCACUUGUUCUCAGCUGUGUGGUGCUUCCUCAUUUGUAUACAUCGACGAAAAUUCAAGCACCCAAAGGAGUGAAUUAUAAUUUUACCUUCAUUUUUUAAAUGAAAGGAAGAGGGUAACACUCUCUGAAGCUCAGGAAGGGACAUAGAUAAUCUUACAGGUAUUUGGGGUUUGGUCCUGUUAAAAUCUAUCUUCUGUAUGCUUAGGGCCAUGGGUGGAGGGGUUAAAUUCGGCACCAGCAAAGGCAGCAUCUUCUAUGAGAAAAGACUUCUGUUUGGAGGCAGGAUGAAAGAGUUGUGAAUGUAAUAUUCUAAGGACUUCUGGGUCUCCUAACAUGCUAAUCCACCGCGAUUAUACCUUUUACCUGGCAAGAGUGUUGUAAGGAUAAAUUAGCCAAUGUUUGCAAAGAACUUGGAAGACAAAAGCCCCACACGAGUCUUUGAGCACUGCAGUUCGCAUUAAGACUGGACUUAAGGUGAAAGCAUCUCAAAGCUGGAAGCUGGGCAGGUUUUUCUCCGUGUCGUUGAUUUCUCAAGUGGCUCCCACACAGCUUUGUGUUUAGGGCUGAAGUGUGAGCAGCUUUAAGGACAAAAGGCAACGAACAAAUGCUCUGAAAAAACAAUGGCCAAGUGGCACCUUGGCCGACAGGAUGUUCCAAAUCCAAGAACCAGUGUGGGAAAACCAGCUGCUUGUCGACACAUCUCACCUUAUAGAGUAGAUGUAUUUCGCAAAGUGCGGUGCAUACAAAGACGUAGGCUAAAGUUUAUUUGGAGAAAUAAAAGCAUCGCUUUAUAAGCAACCACGUGUGAAUGAGCACGCUGUUCUGAAUUUAUAAAUUAGAUUUUCUUACAGAGGACUGGCAAGGGCAACAGCUACAGAUCGAUGCACCCAAACUUCAGCAUUGACCUCUGUUCCUUUGGUAAUAAAAAGCAAGCAUGGCUAUAUGCAGUCUACACACCCUCCUACCAGGCCUGUUGUUACCUCUCUCUCUCUCUCUCUCUCUCUCUCUCUCUCUUUCCCUCCCUCCCUCUCUCUGGUGAAAAGCCAAGGAGUUGGAGGGAAAAGAAGGUGAACAAGAGAGUUUUGGCAAGGUAUCCAGUGGGAUGUCCUGGCCUUGAAUCACUCGGAGACUUUGCAUAGGAGAGUACUAGAAGUGCUGCAAGUUAAACUACACAACCAUCCAUUUGAUGAGGAAAGUUCAGCACAAGAAAUGUCCUCACUUUUUUUGUCCCCCACAUAAUGAACAAAAUCAUUGAAAGCCUGAAAGCGUGCACACUUCUGAUGGGUAAUACCACAUGAUGGAAAUUUUUACUGGGUCAAACAUUAUGCGACCUGAAUAUUGGUCCCAAUUCUGCUGUAAACUAGCUGUGGAGGACAUUGAGCAAGGCACAUGGUCCCGCUGGAACUCAGUUUCUUCAUCUUUGAAACUGGAGUGUUGCAUGAGAUAAUGUCUAAGAUCUGUUCCAGUUCUAAUGUCCACAUUCUAUUGUUCUCCUAUAAGGCUUCAACAGCUGAAUUAAAGCCAAGAUUUUCCUUCCCGUUCCCUAAUUUGUAGAGCACGCUCACAGGAAGCAAUACCAUUGGUGAGAUUGCAUUUAUUUAUUCCUUCAUUCUUAUAUAGAGUGUGAAACUCAGAUUGAACCUAAACCACACCCAUCAUUUAAUAACAUGCCUUGGUGGACUUAGAAAAAUAAUAAAAUAGCUAGAAAGAAAAAGGCAGUUUGCAUGAUGACUGGGGAGACUCCUGCUGGUCAAUGCUUCGUUGGAGAGAACAGAACCAUCAGGCAAAUACACACUAUCCAAUUACAAAGCGUUAAUUUUAGAGGGACAAGUGAUUCUGACAGUGUUUUCUGCUUGAUACUUGGAUUCACCUGCCAACACUCCUGUAAGACUCGUAGUCAAUCUACGAAACAGGACACCUCCCGUAGAAAGAAGCCUUCCAUAGCAUUGACAUUUAAGCCCUUUGAGAACACAAGUAGAUCUGCAAGGGUAAAUAAAUAGCAACAUUUCUGGGCUGCACUGAUUGCCAGGAAGCCAUAUUUCCAUAACAACAUAUAUGGCAGAACCCAGCCACAGUACAUGGCAGGAGUGCCAGGGACUUAACAAGCAAACUGUGUCCAGUCUGGAGACAGACUGAGACUAAACUAAAGUUGGAGACUCCCCUGACUCCAAGGGAAGGGCUGUAGAUGAGUUAUGCUAUCAGCACAAGUGAAAUGCCUAAUUGGAGAAAAGGAAGAGAAGAUGGCGGGUCAUUGGGAUAAAAAGGAGGGGAAGGGGGCAGCUCAACAAAACUCGGAUUGUUGAAAUGAUUUUUUGUUCACAGUAUUGUCAUAAUGCAUUUUAUUUACCCAGAGGAAAUAAUAGAGAAGGAACAUCAAUUAUCAAUCAAAAAAUCCACCAAUUAUCAAUCCAUCGAUUGUCCUCCAUCAAUUAUCAAUCAAAUCCAAACAAACACUGUGUGAGUGUUUAAGAGACUUUUACAACUGUUCUCUCCCUCUCCCUCUCCCCCUCUAUCUCCCCCCUUCCUCUCUGCCUCCUCUCCUCUCUUCUCCUCCCUUCCACCCCCAUCAUUCAUCCCUCUCCAUAGUCUCUAUCCUUUUUCUGUAAUAUCACCUGAAAACAUGAAAUAUGACUUCCCAAAGACUUUGUGGCAUCUGAGUGGUCCAGGCUGUAUCUGCCGCCCUUGCAUUAGAGGUCAUCUAGUUGCAGGAGAUCUUCUGCCUGUCCUAGCACCUGGUGUCAAAGUGGAGCUCUAAUUCUGUCAGCACUGCAGGCCUCCUCCACCAACCAGGUGUUACCAAUCCUUCUCAUUCAUCCCUUCUGUACAUUUGUAUUAAACUUUUAUUUUGAACAAA
Oryctolagus cuniculus (rabbit) is the source of this 5910-nucleotide non-coding RNA. The record is from RefSeq and is a predicted model, not a curated record. Lineage: Eukaryota; Metazoa; Chordata; Mammalia; Lagomorpha; Leporidae.